GAUGAAGAACGUAGCGAAAUGCGAUAACUAAUGUGAAUUGCAGAAUUCCGUGAAUCCUCGAGUCUUUGAACGCACAUUGCGCCCCCUGGUAUUCCGGGGGGCAUGCCUGUCCGAGCGUCAUUGCUGCCCAUCAAGCACGGCUUGUGUGUUGGGUCCUCGUCCCCCCCGGGGGACGUGCCCGAAAGGCAGCGGCGGCACCGCGUCCGGUCCUCGAGCGUAUGGGGCUUUGUCACCCGCUCUGCAGGCCCGGCCGGCGCUGGCCGACGCGAAAGCAACCAUUUUUUCUCCAGGUUGACCUCGGAUCAGGUAGGGAUACCCGCUGAACUUAAGCAUAUCAAUAAGCGGAGGA
Molecule: unclassified non-coding RNA, 349 nt
Filed under: soil metagenome
Description: partial contains 5.8S ribosomal RNA, internal transcribed spacer 2, and large subunit ribosomal RNA
Rfam family: 5.8S ribosomal RNA (bases 1-120)
Source: RNAcentral